Molecule: ribosomal RNA, 388 nt
Filed under: uncultured bacterium
Lineage: Bacteria
Description: bacterial SSU rRNA
Rfam family: Bacterial small subunit ribosomal RNA
Source: RNAcentral
GACGAACGCUGGCGGCGUGCCUAACACAUGCAAGUCGAACGAGAAGGCGUAGCAAUACGCUUGUACAGUGGCGAACGGGUGAGUAAUACGUGGGCGACCUACCCUCGAGUGGGGAAUAACCCGCCGAAAGGCGGGCUAAUGCCGCGUACGCUUCCAUCUUUAUGGAGGUGGAAGGAAAGCCGUGCCGUGGGCACGGCGCUCAAGGAUGGGCUCACGUCCUAUCAGCUUGUUGGAGGGUAACGGCCUACCAAGGCUCCGACGGGUAGCUGGUCUGAGAGGACGAUCAGCCACACUGGCACUGCGACACGGGCCAGACUCCUACGGGAGGCAGCAGUGAGGAAUAUUGCGCAAUGGGCGAAAGCCUGACGCAGCGACGCCGCGUGGGGGA